CAGUCGCCGCGGUAAUACGAAGGGGGCUAGCGUUGUUCGGAUUUACUGGGCGUAAAGGGCGCGUAGGCGGGCGAAUAAGUCAGGGGUGAAAUCCCAAGGCUCAACCUUGGAACUGCCUUUGAUACUGUUUGUCUUGAGUUCGAGAGAGGUAAGCGGAACUGCGAGUGUAGAGGUGAAAUUCGUAGAUAUUCGCAAGAACACCAGUGGCGAAGGCGGCUUACUGGCUCGAAACUGACGCUGAGGCGCGAAAGCGUGGGGAGCAAACAGGAUUAGAUACCCCAGUAGUCCCUGUCUCUUAUAC
This 301-nucleotide ribosomal RNA is filed under the name uncultured bacterium. Its description in RNAcentral is "partial 16S ribosomal RNA". It matches the Rfam family "Bacterial small subunit ribosomal RNA", at positions 509 to 807 of the family's 1533-position model. The record is from RNAcentral.